This is a non-coding RNA of Podarcis lilfordi (Lilford's wall lizard), 1491 nucleotides long. Lineage: Eukaryota; Metazoa; Chordata; Lepidosauria; Squamata; Lacertidae. The record is from the annotation of a GenBank genome assembly.
CCCUUCCCUACAGGUGGGUGGGGUUUGUGGCACUGAAUGGGGCUCACCUGGACAGGUGCCUCCCACCUGCUUGGGUUGGCCUUUGACCCGCCCUCGGCCAGGGAGGACAAUGGCCAGCCAGCCGGGGGUGGGGCUAAGGCCAAAGAAAAGAGGCUGACCCUUUCGACCAAGCCUCACUUCGUUUUCUUCCUUCCAGGAUCAUCUUCCAGGUUGCAGGACGUGUGAGCAACCAGGUUGAGGUAAGUAUUUUGCUUUGUUUGUUACAGGCUGCUUGCAAGCCUUCCUUUAUUGUUUUUCAGCGGCGGUGGCACUGGGGAGGGGCUGUAAGCCCCCUCUGCGGUCACUGCUUGCCGUGGGGGCACCUUGCCAGGCCCGAGAGGGCGGGGGGUGCCCCAGUCAUAGGCCGCAUGGUGGCCUUUUUAUUUUGGCAGUGGCGCUGGAGAGGGGAAUUGGAAAAGGGAAAACUUAUAAAAAAGGAAGCAUCUCUUUAUUCAGGGCUUCUUCCUGCUUCUCCCGUGUGGUGGGUGGGUGUCCUGUUGCAACAGUUUUUAAUAAAGACCAGGCCUACUGGCUGCUGUUUUGCUCCUAUAUUUCUGACUGGUGUCUUUGGCAGUCCCAGUGGGCCCAAGGAUUUUCCUAUAACACCAAGAAUGUGCAGGCUAUUGAGGAGCAGAGACCAGAGGUGUGCAGACACAGUUUGAGACAGUCUGGGAAACAUUUGGGAGAGGAGGGUCCUUCUAAAGGGUGGGGGGCAGGGACCUCCAGUCCUGGCAACUGCUCCACAGAAGCCAACCUGCAGAGCUGGAAGUGGCUUCCUUGAAUAGUUAACUUCCCUGACAACAGAGCCCUGCGUUUUCCCUGCUGACCUGCCUCUGACUUCAGCCCUGACAGCAGAAUGAAUGGCCCAUGAGCAGGUCUCUUGUCCGCUUAGCCCAGAAUUGCCUCCUUCCUGUCCUCCUGGUUGCGGGUCUUGAGCAGAAUCUGCUACGGGAGGCUGGCAGGUGGCAGCUUCUGCAUGCGGAUCAUGCGCUCUUUUAAUGCUCCACACAUCUUUUACAGUCUGCCUGGUGCUUCCUUUACAUCCUUCACAGUCUGCCUGGAUUGUCAACAGCCUUUGCAGAUGGGGAGCCAAGCCUGGAAAGAGAGAGAGAGAGGGAGAGAGAUGAUGGAGGAGAGACUUGGAAUAAUAGAACUGAGUGGUUGGGAGGGGCCCCCAGGGGUCAUCCAGCCCAACCCCAUGCAUCUAAAGCAUCCAUAGCAGAUGGCCACCCAACGUCUGAUUUCCUCAGCCUGGCACUCUUCGGCUGUUCAGGGCUAGAAAUCCAAUCAGCCGCAACAUUGGUAAUCCUGGGCUGGCAGGAGGUCCAUGAAUGGUGGGGGACUUGAAGCUUAUCCAUAUGAAUAAUAAUAAUAAAACCUCACACACAAUCGCAGGCAUAAAAUGAUGAAUUAAAACAGAGGCCAAGUGAUUGUUUCCAAAUCCUGAAGAGC